UAAGAUUAUAGAUAUAAUGCUAUUAGAAAC
RNAcentral lists this non-coding RNA (30 nucleotides) under Rattus norvegicus (Norway rat). The record is from RNAcentral. Lineage: Eukaryota; Metazoa; Chordata; Mammalia; Rodentia; Muridae.